Molecule: non-coding RNA, 3386 nt
Organism: Peromyscus maniculatus bairdii (prairie deer mouse)
Lineage: Eukaryota; Metazoa; Chordata; Mammalia; Rodentia; Cricetidae
Source: RefSeq, a predicted model, not a curated record
GGAGCCCCUGACUAAAGGCACCGUAUCCGCGCAGCCCUGGUAUGACACUGAGCUGAACCCCUUGCACACCGUUGGUGCUGUGGUUCCCAGUGUUCACUGGAUCACUGAGGGCCAGAAGCAUAGCAGCCCAUAUAUUCCCGACCAGCCGUCAGCCUGAGCAGACUGGGGACCGGCUGCACCCGACAUGGCACAGGGGACCAUCCAAAGACAGACCCUGCAGGCCACAGACGGGCAGAGAGGAACCUGACUGCUGGAGACGCGAGGGAGAAGUGGAUGGUCUCUGCGUGACCUUCAGUUCCUUCCAAACCGGAUACCACCAGGGACACCCCAACCCAAACCCUGGUGUUUCAGGUUUCAUUAGUAAAGGGCACAUGAUGCUCUUCUUGCCCAUGCUCUAGACCUCACCACUGUCUGCCAAAGCUUCAGUGACAGGGCGUUUGUUAAGAAGAAUCAGAAGCACCCGGCGGUGGUGGUGCCACAAACCUUUAAUCGCAGCACUCAGGAGGCAGAGGCAGGUGGAUCUCUCUACAGAGCAAGUUCCAGGCCAGACAGGACUACACAGAGAAACCCUGUCUCAAAAAAUGAAGAGGAGGAGGAGGGAGGAGGAAGGAGGAGGAGGGAGGAAGGAGGAGGAGGUGAAGCAAUUCUUUCACAUUACAGCUGUGAUACAAAUCAGAGCAAACACUUAACCAAAGCUGAAAAGGAAGUUUUACGUUUUUUAAGUUUUAAGAUCAUCCAGGAAAAAGAAAUAUCCUCGGGGAACUCUGCAUGUUCCUGGAGCUCUAGAAGACCAUGUGUGUGUCCUUGCACAGGAAAGCCCCAGGAGGACAUCGCUGUCACAUCUGACUUUGAGUCUCUUCCCAAGCAAGAAGCGGAGACUAAGGCAGAGUCACAAACUACUGAGAAAUGCUUCUCACCUGGUAAAGGCUCAGGUGAGCGGUCUGAAUAUGGACAACCUCAAAAGAUGCAAAGAAAGCGAACUCACACGCGGUCCUUAAGGAAGUUAACUGCUGUCUUUCACCGGAAACUAGUAAAACCUGGAAGAAGUGGGAUUAUUUUCCAAAACACAGAAGCCAGGAAGCAAUCAACCAAAAAUUCUGUAUCCAGCAAAACCAUUCAUGAAACGUGAGGGAGAAAUGAAGGCCGACCCAGAUGGACAAGGACUCCAAGUUCUCUCAGCAGAGCUGUCCUUUAUGAAAUACUAAUUUGAGACCUUUGUGAAAUAAGAAGACAUUAGAUGUUCACUCAACCCACAUAAAGAAAUAAAGAACACCUAUAUAACUAGAUGUAAAAGACAGCUUAAAUGUAUUUUUGUCUAAAUCAUAACUACACAAAGCAUUGAUUACAAAACUGUGGUAAUUACAAAGACGUAAUUAAUACCACAAUAAAGACACAGAGGACAGGAAGGGAGCAGAGAUACACGGUGACAAAGAGUUUAUGCCACUGAAGACAGUAUUAAUCAGAACUUUGAGAUAACUAACGUAAAAUGCUAGAAACAUCACACUAGAAAGCGUCUGUUUAACAAAGAAAAAACCCAGUAACGUAUAAAUAGGAUAAAACCACCACCACCACCAAAACAAGUAAGGGGUACAGAAAACAAAUAGUAUUUUUUAUAAGAAAUAUAAUAAAUAAAUAAAUAAAAAUUUAAAAAUAAAUAAAUAAAAAUAAAACAAAACAACUUACAUACGAGACCUUAUCGGGGCUGGUAGUGGUUGCUUAUAUAUUCAGGAUUGCCAUGAGUUCAAGGUCAACCUAGACUACACAAUCCCAAGUCAGCCUAGGCUACAGCAUGGGAAUCCUGUUCUCCAAAAACAAACAAGCAAAAUAACAAAGCUACCAUAGUAGCAAUUACAUUCACUGUAAACAAUGUAAAGAUUGACUACUUAAACAAAAAAGCAAAGAUAAGUGAAUAGAUCUUUUCACAAAAUAAAAGAACAUCAGAAAAAGCAUCAGAUCAUCUCCUAUACUACAUGAAGAAAUGAAGAACACUUAUAGAAUUAGGAAUAUAAGUCAGCAAAUGUGUACUUAGCUCAGUCACCCAGAGGAAUCAACUGGACCAAACACAUCUAUAGAAUGCACCACCCAGCAAUGGCAGACUACACAUUCCUCUCAAGUCAACAUAGGAUAGACUCCGGAAUACAUAAUAGACUAAUUUAUAAGCAAGCCUUAGACAUUAUGAAGAAGUGACUAAAAAUAUAAAGGUAUGUUUACUGAUUUAUCAAAUUAGAAAUGAAUAAAAAGGAAGUCUGGGAAAUAGACAAUGACGUGGGACUAGAUAGAAUUCUGAAAAACUCAGAGAAGCCACAGACAUUUUGAAAAGCUUAAGAGCUGAGUGUGAUGGCAUGUAUCUGUGGUCCCAGCACCGAGGGGGCAGAGGCAGGAGGAUUUUAACUUCCAGACUAGGAUGUGUUGUGAGAUUUUGUCUCAAACAAACGAAAUCCAACAAAACAAAACAAAAAAAUUUGGAGGAGAAAACUGAUAAUACAGCAUACCAAAAUGUAUAGAUUGCAGUUGUGAACCUAGAAGACACAGUCCUAAAUGUCUAUGUGGGAAAAGAAGAUCUCAGUAACUUAAUCCUGCACAUGAAGACACUGGACAAGGGCAAGCCAAACUCAAGUUGAACAAAUGGGAUGAAAUUACAAUGGAAAUAAGUGAGGAUUAGGGACACAGUAGUGGAAACUAACACAAAGAUGCUUCGUUUAAAGGAUGUGGGGGGAGGGGGUUUGUUGGAGACAUAGUUCCGCAGUUAAGAGCACUGGCUGCUCUUCCAGAGGACCUGGGUUCAAUUCCCAGCACCCACAUGGCAGCUCAUAAAAUAAAAAUAAAUUAAAAAAAAUAAAAUAAAAGAUAGCCAGCCAGGCUUCACAGACUUUAGGUAGACGAGUCAGGACAAAGAAGACAGCUCAGGUCACUGCCGCAGGAAUGAAAGUGUGGACAUCACUACCGAUCUUACAGAACAAAAUUACCAGGCAAUGAUAUGAACAGCUCACUGUCAAUAAACUAGGUGAGUCAGAUGAAACAAAAAUUCCUUGACAGACAAACAGCCCGAGAGAAACAAAAUGUAAACAAACCUUUAACCAAUAAUAAGUAUUUCUGAAAAGAAAGCCAUGGGACCACCUGGCUUUAAUGAUGAAUUCUAUCAAGCACAUAAAGAAAAAAUAGCACCAACUGUUCACAGACUUCAAAGAAAUAGAAAAGAAUGUAUUCUCAAUUCCUUCUACAUAGUCAGUAUUCCUGAGAUACUGAACACAGAGGUAUCUCAAGAAAACUUCCAGCCAAUAUCCCUAAUCAAUGCAGACUUUAAAAAGUCUCAAAAAAAAAAAAAAAAACCACUAGAGUGUGGUGGCACACAUUUUUAAUCCCAGCACUAAAGCAGAAUGCUGGGA